RNAcentral lists this long non-coding RNA (387 nucleotides) under Vigna radiata. Its description in RNAcentral is "long non-coding RNA (VRAD_LNC008685)". The record is from RNAcentral. Lineage: Eukaryota; Viridiplantae; Streptophyta; Magnoliopsida; Fabales; Fabaceae.
UUUAAAUAAGGACAUUCAAGAUAGCCAAGAGGAGAGAGUAAAAGAAGAGAGGAAAAAGAGAGAUGAGAAAGAAAAAGAAGAAAAUGAGAGGAAAGCAAGAGAAGAACGAGAAAAGGAAGAAAAAGAAGAACUUGUGAGAGAAAAGGAGAAGGAAGACGUCCUACAUACACAAGAAGUGUUAUUGAAGGCACUUUCCACUCCCAGCAUUCUAUAGGAUUUAAGCAAAUUUAGGGGAGCUUUUCCAUCUUUAUACUUUUCUCCAAUAAUUAAGCUUUCUUCUUUUCCUAAAAAAUUUUGUGAAAAUAUCCCACCUAUCUCAUAUCUUAUUACCACUUCUUCACACACCAUUUCCAACCCACAACUUAGUUAAUGUAUUCUUGUUUACAC